CAGCACCAUGCCUAAUAACUGAGGGCUGACCUUUUAGUUUAAUGCUUUCUCUGCUCAGCUCAGGGCCCCUGCCACAGUGCAAUAGCUGUGCGGCAAGGAGAAAAGUUAUCCUUCCCAUCAGCUUUGAAGCACAACUCAUUUGCAUGCAGCCCACUUGAAGCAGGAGCAGAGCAGAGUGAGGCUCAAACCGGAUUAGAUUUGACAGUACCCCUGAGACAAUAGCAGCUUGGAUAGGUGUGAAGGCUUCUGAUCCAACUCUACUGCUGACUGAAUAACUGAAUACCUCAAAAUCCUCUGUAAAGAACAGGCUUUCUUUAUUCUGUGAAAACAAAGGAAAGGUCAGGGGAUCACCAGCCAGCCAUCGGUAUGCCUCAUCCUCUGGGAACCAUUAAUGUCUGCACAAAAUUUAUAAUCCGCCCAAUAGCCGCUGAGAUAUUUUGUUCUAGAAUAAGUGUAUAAACUAUCCGAUCCAUGUCCUAAAAAUAACAAGCUCAAACACAGCUGUGAUGUUUGUGUAAAACUGUGAGAUGGAAGCAUCAGCCGGUGAAGUGGGAGUGUGUUAGCUCAGCUGUGGCAGCAGAUGGAGAGGGAAGAAGCCCUAGUAAUUUAUUGAAGGCUGCUCUAUGUGAAUAGCUGCUCAUUUUGCAUAGUUACAUUGUUUAUUAAUAGAGAGUUGUUUCAUCAUGCAUUACGUGUUGUUGCUAAUGUAACCUCUGGUUUGAUUACCUUGUGAUUUUAGGACUUAGUUUAAGGUGUCCUGCCAACCUGAUGGGACAUUUUCUUUGAUGAAAAGCUCAUUUAGUUUUUCCACCAAUGUACCUGGUAUGUCUAAGUGAGCCAAAUACAGCUUAACAUGCAUCAUCAA
Long non-coding RNA from Notolabrus celidotus (New Zealand spotty), 865 nucleotides. RefSeq lists it as uncharacterized. NCBI's taxonomy places the organism in Eukaryota, Metazoa, Chordata, Actinopteri, Labriformes, Labridae. The record is from RefSeq and is a predicted model, not a curated record. The transcript is spliced from 3 exons.